RNAcentral lists this ribosomal RNA (408 nucleotides) under uncultured bacterium. RNAcentral's name for it is "partial 16S ribosomal RNA". It matches the Rfam family "Bacterial small subunit ribosomal RNA", at positions 28 to 526 of the family's 1533-position model. The record is from RNAcentral.
GACGAACGCUGGCGGCGUGCUUAACACAUGCAAGUCGAACGAAGUGGAGAACGGGUGAGUAACGCGUAAUCAAACUGCCCUUCAGAGGGGGACAACAGUUGGAAACGAAUGCUAAUAUCGCAUACGGAAGGAUGGGAUUGCGUCGGAUUAGCUAGUUGGAGGGGUAACGGCCCAACAAGGCGAUGAUCAGUAGCCGGUCUGAGAGGAUGACCGGCCACAUUGGGACUGAGACACGGCCCAGACUCCUACGGGAGGCAGCAGUGGGGAAUCUUCCGCAAUGGACGAAAGUCUGACGGAGCAACGCCGCGUGAGUGAUGACGGCCUUCGGGUUGUAAAGCUCUGUUAAUCGGGACGCGGUACCGGAAUAGAAAGCCACGGCUAACUACGUGCCAGCAGCCGCGGUAAUAC